This is a long non-coding RNA of Callithrix jacchus (white-tufted-ear marmoset), 997 nucleotides long. RefSeq lists it as uncharacterized. Lineage: Eukaryota; Metazoa; Chordata; Mammalia; Primates; Cebidae. The record is from RefSeq and is a predicted model, not a curated record.
UGGUCCAUCUCACUUACACAGAAAACUUUCUUGUUUUAGGCUAAAAAUAAAUUGCCUCUCUGUGUUUGGCUAAUUGGUACUUCUGUUGGUUAAUUCCUCUGCAAUCCCAUUGUGUGUGGACUCUCCAUUCAUAAACUUCCGAUUUCUCUGAUGAACUCGGAACCUGCCUACUGUAUCAUGGCUAAAAAUAUAUGCUGGAAAUCCUGGUGUCGUCUUGAAGGGUUCAGGUUUUCCAGUGGAUGUACUUUAAUUACCUUUGCCUACAUACACAGGAAUCUUGAAGGCACUGCUGUGACACUGGGCCUGAGGUACCCAGGAGCAUCCCUGAGACUUGUUAAGGUGUCUACCAUUUAACUGCAUGAGAGAUUCCGGAUGGGGAGUGGGGCAGCAAGGAAUGACCUGGCAUUACUUCUCCUUCAAGAGGUCCAGACUCCCACUCAGCUCUUAGCACCCUUGGGCUAUCUGAAGAACCUGAAUGGUGCAGAAUGCUGGCUCGCUGGGCCACGAAAUCUUAUUCCAGGAGAGACCGAUGAGAGUCCAGGAUGUUAAAGAUGCAAGUGAUGGAAGCUUCAAGUUGUGCCCAUCUGUACCCUGACAUAGGCAGUUCUGUCCUUUGCUUCAUCACUCAGGCCAAAGACUCUGAUGCAAAUGUGGAGUCGGUGAGUCCAGGAAGUGCCAUUAUGUGCAGGCCAAUAACUGGCUAUGGCAGUUGGAGGCAAAUAGGCUUCGCCAGUCUCAAAGCCCUAGCUACUAUAGUGAGUCCACAGCUCCCUGGAUCUUAUCUACGUCAGCAAAAGAAGGCCACCCAGUAAGCCAGGCCUCGGGUAGAAACUGCUCAUUCAUCUACUCUCCUUAAACAGCCAAACUCAUUGCCACUUUCUUCAGCAAUAAUUACUGCAGCCCAGAGACUUUGGUAGCCUAGCGACUAUAACUAGUCACGCUACAGUCUGGUCACAGUCUGAUAAAACCCCAGAGCAACAAAAGCUAAAAUAUUGAC